AGUACCUUUAACUCAGUCCAGAGAGGCUGGCAAGGUAGCGUGAUUAUAAGCCGUCGUCCGGAAGUAGCUUUAAACCAGCACGGAGUGUGAACCAUGUCCGCUGGCAGCGCCUUGUUGCGCUUGCCGCCGUACAUGCUUGCAUCCGCGACCGCUGGGCGGCUUCCGCGCGGCUUAUACCUUCCCCUAUCUCCUUGCUGAGCAACUCGGCAGGGAGAUUUUUUU
Paenibacillaceae bacterium GAS479 is the source of this 222-nucleotide regulatory RNA element. It matches the Rfam family "PyrR binding site". Rfam says of the family: This family represents the PyrR binding site and terminator structure. This RNA structure is found upstream of a variety of genes involved in pyrimidine biosynthesis and transport. Lineage: Bacteria; Bacillati; Bacillota; Bacilli; Caryophanales; Paenibacillaceae. The record is from Rfam.